This 440-nucleotide ribosomal RNA is filed under the name uncultured bacterium. Its description in RNAcentral is "partial 16S ribosomal RNA". It matches the Rfam family "Bacterial small subunit ribosomal RNA", at positions 338 to 795 of the family's 1533-position model. The record is from RNAcentral.
CCUACGGGUGGCAGCAGUAGGGAAUAUUGCUCAAUGGGGGAAACCCUGAAGCAGCAACGCCGCGUGGAGGAUGAAGGUUUUCGGAUUGUAAAAUCCUUUUGUUAGAGAAGAUAAUGACGGUAUCUAACGAAUAAGCACCGGCUAACUCCGUGCCAGCAGCCGCGGUAAUACGGAGGGUGCAAGCGUUACUCGGAAUCACUGGGCGGAAAGAGCGCGUAGGCGGGAUAGCAAGUCAGAUGUGAAAUCCUAUGGCUUAACCAUAGAACUGCAUUUGAAACUGUUAUUCUAGAGUAUGGGAGAGGUAGGUGGAAUGCUUGGUGUAGGGGUAAAAUCCGUAGAGAUCAAGAGGAAUACUCAUUGCGAAGGCGACCUGCUAGAACAUAACUGACGCUGAUGCGCGAAAGCGUGGGGAGCAAACAGGAUUAGAUACCCCAGUAGUC